Molecule: ribosomal RNA, 552 nt
Filed under: uncultured bacterium
Lineage: Bacteria
Description: partial 16S ribosomal RNA
Source: RNAcentral
CCGUCAAUUCCUUUAAGUUUCAGCCUUGCGGCCGUACUUCCCAGGUGGCUCGCUUCACGGCUUCCCUACGGCACCGACAACGGUCGCACCGUGGCCGACACCUAGCGAGUAUCGUUUACGGCUAGGACUACCCGGGUAUCUAAUCCGGUUCGUGCCCCUAGCUUUCGUCCCUUGCCGUCAGGUCCGUUCUGGUGAGACGCCUUCGCCACUGGUGGUCCUUCAAGGAUUACAAGAUUUCACCCCUACCCCUGAAGUACCUCUCACCUCUCCCGGCCUCGAGCCGAACAGUAUCUCCUGAAAGCCCAACAGUUGAGCUGCUGGAUUUCUCAAGAGACUUAUCCGGCCGGCUACAGACCCUUUAGACCCAAUAAUAACGGUUACCACUCGAGCCGCCAGUGUUACCGCGGCGGCUGGCACCGGUCUUGCCCGGCCCUUGCUAUGCAAUGCUUUUUAGGCAUCACGACAGCCAGAUUUGUAACCUGGCACUCGAGGUCCCCUUAUCGCCGUUGCCGGCAUUGUAAAGUUUUCGCGCCUGCUGCCUCCCGUAGGAGU